RNAcentral lists this long non-coding RNA (2006 nucleotides) under Homo sapiens (human). RNAcentral describes it as "long independently transcribed non-coding RNA 2880 (LINC02880)". Lineage: Eukaryota; Metazoa; Chordata; Mammalia; Primates; Hominidae. The record is from RNAcentral.
UCGUUGCUACCUGGGGUGCCUCAGACUCACCCAAGUCCCCCAGGCCAGAGGACAUGCUCUCAAGCCUUGUUUCAGAAAGAGGGACCCAAAGGCUGUUAGGGAAGAGAACCAGGGUCCUCAAACCCAGGGUUUUCUCACCCACUGCCUCUGCUCUGGCUGUGGCCUGCCAGACCUCUCCUCUGAUUUUCGCUUUCCUUCCUGCCAGUGCCUUUGUUUAUCCGAGGCGCCAAGAUCCCACUGUGAAGUCUGAAAGGAAGACCAGUGGUUCUCGCUUUUCCUCUAGAUGCUGUGUCUCCCAAUGUCAUCUUCUUUCCUCUCAAAGACAAUUGGACGUUGUUACAGAUUUUCUUGGAAUGAGUAAAUACCUAGCAGUGGGAUUGCUGGAUCAUAUGAAAAUGCCAGACUAUAUUUCAUCAGCAACAUCGGAGAGUUCCAGUUGCUCUACACCCUCACUAGCACUUAAUAUUGUUGAUCGCUGCCUGGAUUCACAGAAGGACAAAUUACAAUGCAUUUUGAAAGACUCGUCUACAGUCAACUAAAAUACCAGUUAUCACAGACUUCACUGGCCUUAAUGAGGAGGCUGAGAGGGAUUUAAUUACUGGGACAUGCAACGCUUACACCAAACUCUGUUCGAUUCACGACUUGGAAAAGCAAAUGUGGAUACAGAUGAGUGUGGACAUGGCUUCAGUAGGAAAUGUCGAGUUUGUUCAUCACUCUGAAGUUUCUUCAGCUGCAACGGAAACUGCACCCUCCCUCCCGACUUGUUGGUUAUCUUGCUGUGCUCCCAAGAAGGUAUUUUCUGCUGACCUGAUAGAUCAGACCUUUGUCAUUUUGAUUGAAAAGAUGUUUACCUGUUGGUCCCCAGCCUCACUCUUCUGAACCUCAGAUCCACUGAGUGUGUAUCCAGAGGUAAGUAUGUGGUAAGUAUGCUUGUCAUUUACAUUAUCUGUCAGCAUGAGUAUUGGUUUCCUAGAAACCUAAUAUUGAAAACACUUAGCAUUGCUAAAAGCAUUAAAUGAAAUAAAGACUCAAUAUAGCUGCACUAAUCUGUGCUUUCUAAAUUUACUGAUGGACGUGAAGAAAGUAGGUUGGCAUGGAGUUUAUACAAUUUAUGGAUCACACUGAUCUGAAUUCAGACAGUGUGUGCUCAGAUAAAAAUAUUGUUUCCUCCCAUGAGGUUUCCAAUUUUGCAGAGAAGAAUACCUCUGUUUAGCUCAUUACUUAACACAAUGGGUAGCUGGGUGGCCUUGCAUUCUGGAAGUGAAAUGACACAAGAAUGUCUCCACUGCAUUCUCCAGAGGUAAAGAUUCUCUGGCACAAAAUCACAACCAAGGUGGGGUUCCAAAACUAUAGAACAAAUGGCAGCAGCCAUGCAGCCAGCCUUGGUUCGGGUGGGCUGUAAAAGCAGAGGUUGUCCUCGUGUUAUCAGCACUGACUUCCUGUUGUGGCCACACUGACAGAGAUGAGAUGGCAGAAAGCAGGAAAGAGACCAGAGCUGCAAUUGACAGAUGGCUGGCCAAAGUUGAAGGGUCAGAGACUACACCAAAGACUUCUCAGAAAAUACUUGCCUAGGAGGCUCUCACUUGGAAAGAUAUUCAGGGUUGUUAAACAUAUCCUGUUAUUAGGAAAACGAGAGUUUUAUCUUUCUCUUACUCAGAAAGAAAAAACAAAAAGAAAAUUAGUGCUCUUAAGAAAAGCUAUUUUAAUGUUAUCCAUUAUAAAAUUAGAAAACCUUGAAAGGCAAAUGUUUCUUCUGACCAUUUACACUGAGCUUCUUUCAUUAUCUCAUAUGCAACCUUGUGGAUUGAAGGUGGAGAGUCCUUAGGAUUACCCAGGAACAUCCCUGUCUGCUCCCCCUGCUAGGCAGGAGGAGAUUUGAAACCACAUGUGUCUACUUCAUUUCUGUCACGGGUAGGACAGUGUCAUAUACUUUGUAGGUAACUCAAAGAUAUUAUAGGUAACUCAUAGAUAUUGAUUGAAUUAAUGUUUAAUAAAAUGAGAACACC